GAUGAACGCUGGCGGCGUGCCUAAUACAUGCCAGUCGAGCGAACAGACGAGGAGCUUGCUCCUCUGACGUUAGCGGCGGACGGGUGAGUAACACGUGGAUAACCUACCUAUAAGACUGGGAUAACUUCGGGAAACCGGAGCUAAUACCGGAUAAUAUAUUGAACCGCAUGGUUCAAUAGUGAAAGACGGUUUUGCUGUCACUUAUAGAUGGAUCCGCGCCGCAUUAGCUAGUUGGUAAGGUAACGGCUUACCAAGGCAACGAUGCGUAGCCGACCUGAGAGGGUGAUCGGCCACACUGGAACUGAGACACGGUCCAGACUCCUACGGGAGGCAGCAGUAGGGAAUCUUCCGCAAUGGGCGAAAGCCUGACGGAGCAACGCCGCGUGAGUGAUGAAGGUCUUCGGAUCGUAAAACUCUGUUAUUAGGGAAGAACAAAUGUGUAAGUAACUAUGCACGUCUUGACGGUACCUAAUCAGAAAGCCACGGCUGACUACGUG
This 497-nucleotide ribosomal RNA is filed under the name uncultured bacterium. RNAcentral's name for it is "partial 16S ribosomal RNA". It matches the Rfam family "Bacterial small subunit ribosomal RNA", at positions 28 to 507 of the family's 1533-position model. The record is from RNAcentral.